UACGGAGGGUCCAAGCGUUGUCCGGAUUUAUUGGGUGUAAAGGGUGUGUAGGCGGGUCUGCCAGUCAGAGGUGAAAGCCCACGGCUCAACCGUGGAACUGCCUCUGAUACUGCAGAUCUUGAGUCCUGGAGAGGUUGUCGGAAUUCGUGGUGUAGCGGUGAAAUGCGUAGAUAUCACGAGGAACACCGGUUACGAAGGUGGGCAACUGGACAGGUACUGACGCUGAGGCACGAAAGCGUGGGGAGCAAACAGG
RNAcentral lists this ribosomal RNA (253 nucleotides) under uncultured bacterium. RNAcentral describes it as "partial 16S ribosomal RNA". It matches the Rfam family "Bacterial small subunit ribosomal RNA", at positions 524 to 776 of the family's 1533-position model. The record is from RNAcentral.